This 450-nucleotide ribosomal RNA is filed under the name uncultured bacterium. RNAcentral describes it as "partial 16S ribosomal RNA". It matches the Rfam family "Bacterial small subunit ribosomal RNA", at positions 354 to 796 of the family's 1533-position model. The record is from RNAcentral.
GUGGGGAAUUUUGGACAAUGGGCGAAAGCCUGAUCCAGCAAUGCCGCGUGUGUGAAGAAGGCCUUCGGGUUGUAAAGCACUUUUUGCAGGGAAGAAACAGUGCGUGCUAAUACCAUGCGCGAAUGACGGUACCUGCAGAAUAAGCACCGGCUAACUACGUGCCAGCAGCCGCGGUAAUACGUAGGGUGCAAGCGUUAAUCGGAAUUACUGGGCGUACAGCGUGCGCAGGCGGCUUUGUAAGACGGAUGUGAAAGCCCCGGGCUCAACCUGGGAAGUGCAUUCGUGACUGCAAGGCUAGAGUGUGUCAGAGGGAGGUGGAAUUCCGCGUGUAGCAGUGAAAUGCGUAGAGAUGCGGAGGAACACCGAUGGCGAAGGCAGCCUCCUGGGAUAACACUGACGCUCAGGCACGAAAGCGUGGGGAGCAAACAGGAUUAGAAACCCGUGUAGUCC